GUGCUCACUUCGGAAGCACAUACACUAAAACUGGAGCAAUACAGAGAAGAUUAGCAUGGUCCCUACUAUGCAAGGAUGACACACAAAUUCGUGAAGUGUUCAUAUUUUUU
RNAcentral lists this small nuclear RNA (110 nucleotides) under Dasypus novemcinctus (nine-banded armadillo). Lineage: Eukaryota; Metazoa; Chordata; Mammalia; Cingulata; Dasypodidae. The record is from RNAcentral.